This 253-nucleotide ribosomal RNA is filed under the name uncultured bacterium. RNAcentral's name for it is "partial 16S ribosomal RNA". It matches the Rfam family "Bacterial small subunit ribosomal RNA", at positions 524 to 776 of the family's 1533-position model. The record is from RNAcentral.
UACGUAGGGUGCGAGCGUUGUCCGGAAUUAUUGGGCGUAAAGAGCUUGUAGGCGGUUUGUCGCGUCUGCUGUGAAAAUCCGGGGCUCAACCCCGGACUUGCAGUGGGUACGGGCAGGCUAGAGUGUGGUAGGGGAGACUGGAAUUCCUGGUGUAGCGGUGAAAUGCGCAGAUAUCAGGAGGAACACCGAUGGCGAAGGCAGGUCUCUGGGCCGCUACUGACGCUGAGAAGCGAAAGCAUGGGGAGCGAACAGG